Molecule: ribosomal RNA, 1488 nt
Filed under: Lactiplantibacillus pentosus
Lineage: Bacteria; Bacillati; Bacillota; Bacilli; Lactobacillales; Lactobacillaceae
Description: bacterial SSU rRNA
Rfam family: Bacterial small subunit ribosomal RNA
Source: RNAcentral
GACGAACGCUGGCGGCGUGCCUAAUACAUGCAAGUCGAACGAACUCUGGUAUUGAUUGGUGCUUGCAUCAUGAUUUACAUUUGAGUGAGUGGCGAACUGGUGAGUAACACGUGGGAAACCUGCCCAGAAGCGGGGGAUAACACCUGGAAACAGAUGCUAAUACCGCAUAACAACUUGGACCGCAUGGUCCGAGUUUGAAAGAUGGCUUCGGCUAUCACUUUUGGAUGGUCCCGCGGCGUAUUAGCUAGAUGGUGAGGUAACGGCUCACCAUGGCAAUGAUACGUAGCCGACCUGAGAGGGUAAUCGGCCACAUUGGGACUGAGACACGGCCCAAACUCCUACGGGAGGCAGCAGUAGGGAAUCUUCCACAAUGGACGAAAGUCUGAUGGAGCAACGCCGCGUGAGUGAAGAAGGGUUUCGGCUCGUAAAACUCUGUUGUUAAAGAAGAACAUAUCUGAGAGUAACUGUUCAGGUAUUGACGGUAUUUAACCAGAAAGCCACGGCUAACUACGUGCCAGCAGCCGCGGUAAUACGUAGGUGGCAAGCGUUGUCCGGAUUUAUUGGGCGUAAAGCGAGCGCAGGCGGUUUUUUAAGUCUGAUGUGAAAGCCUUCGGCUCAACCGAAGAAGUGCAUCGGAAACUGGGAACUUGAGUGCAGAAGAGGACAGUGGAACUCCAUGUGUAGCGGUGAAAUGCGUAGAUAUAUGGAAGAACACCAGUGGCGAAGGCGGCUGUCUGGUCUGUAACUGACGCUGAGGCUCGAAAGUAUGGGUAGCAAACAGGAUUAGAUACCCUGGUAGUCCAUACCGUAAACGAUGAAUGCUAAGUGUUGGAGGGUUUCCGCCCUUCAGUGCUGCAGCUAACGCAUUAAGCAUUCCGCCUGGGGAGUACGGCCGCAAGGCUGAAACUCAAAGGAAUUGACGGGGGCCCGCACAAGCGGUGGAGCAUGUGGUUUAAUUCGAAGCUACGCGAAGAACCUUACCAGGUCUUGACAUACUAUGCAAAUCUAAGAGAUUAGACGUUCCCUUCGGGGACAUGGAUACAGGUGGUGCAUGGUUGUCGUCAGCUCGUGUCGUGAGAUGUUGGGUUAAGUCCCGCAACGAGCGCAACCCUUAUUAUCAGUUGCCAGCAUUAAGUUGGGCACUCUGGUGAGACUGCCGGUGACAAACCGGAGGAAGGUGGGGAUGACGUCAAAUCAUCAUGCCCCUUAUGACCUGGGCUACACACGUGCUACAAUGGAUGGUACAACGAGUUGCGAACUCGCGAGAGUAAGCUAAUCUCUUAAAGCCAUUCUCAGUUCGGAUUGUAGGCUGCAACUCGCCUACAUGAAGUCGGAAUCGCUAGUAAUCGCGGAUCAGCAUGCCGCGGUGAAUACGUUCCCGGGCCUUGUACACACCGCCCGUCACACCAUGAGAGUUUGUAACACCCAAAGUCGGUGGGGUAACCUUUUAGGAACCAGCCGCCUAAGGUGGGACAGAUGAUUAGGGUG